This 382-nucleotide RNase P RNA is filed under the name Mucilaginibacter pankratovii. RNAcentral describes it as "Mucilaginibacter sp. ZT4R22 RNase P RNA component class A". It matches the Rfam family "Bacterial RNase P class A". Rfam says of the family: Ribonuclease P (RNase P) is a ubiquitous endoribonuclease, found in archaea, bacteria and eukarya as well as chloroplasts and mitochondria. Its best characterised activity is the generation of mature 5'-ends of tRNAs by cleaving the 5'-leader elements of precursor-tRNAs. The record is from RNAcentral. Lineage: Bacteria; Pseudomonadati; Bacteroidota; Sphingobacteriia; Sphingobacteriales; Sphingobacteriaceae.
ACCGCAAAACGUUCUAUCGCUACCCGCGCUUAGUGGGUGGAGGAAAGUCCGGGCAACACAGAGCAUCCUGCUUCCUAACGGGAAGGCGCCCGCAGCGGGCGACAGCAAGUGCCACAGAGAAUAUACCGCCCCGAAUUUAUUCGGGGUAAGGGUGAAAACGUGAGGUAAGAGCUCACGGCUUUUCCGGGCGACCGGGAUCGCGGUAAACCUCAGGAGUUGAAAAACCAAAUAGGUUCUGAAAGCGGAGCUGCUCGCUCCCGCCUCCCUACGGGGACGUCAGAAUGGGUAGGUUGAUUGAACCUGCCGGCAACGGCAGGGCCAGAUUAAUGAUAGAAAUUCCUGCAAAGGAACACAGAACCCGGCUUACAGGUUUGCAGCUGUA